CCUCCCACUGACUUCAUCAAGUUAGAUCAAAGAAGACUAGAUGCAAGUUGGUCCAACAGACUAGUCACAAAUCCUCCCAUUGACUUUAUCAAGUCACGAAGAAGACUAUUGAUAAGUCGAACUAGGGGCAUCUAAGUCAGUCAUACUGAUUUUCUAGCUAGCAUGGAUCAACCUUAAUUAUUAAGUAAUCUAAUCAAAAUAUGAUUCACCACGUUAGUCAGGUAAGUG
Molecule: long non-coding RNA, 228 nt
Filed under: Elaeis guineensis (African oil palm)
Lineage: Eukaryota; Viridiplantae; Streptophyta; Magnoliopsida; Arecales; Arecaceae
Description: long non-coding RNA (EGUI_LNC060355)
Source: RNAcentral